RNAcentral lists this ribosomal RNA (247 nucleotides) under uncultured Actinomycetes bacterium. RNAcentral's name for it is "uncultured actinobacterium partial 16S ribosomal RNA". It matches the Rfam family "Bacterial small subunit ribosomal RNA", at positions 28 to 276 of the family's 1533-position model. The record is from RNAcentral. Lineage: Bacteria; Bacillati; Actinomycetota; Actinomycetes.
GACGAACGCUGGCGGCGUGCUUAACACAUGCAAGUCGAGCGGAAAGGCCACUUCGGUGGUACUCGAGCGGCGAACGGGUGAGUAACACGUGGGUAAUCUGCCCCUGGCUUUGGGUAUAGCCACCGGAAACGGUGAUUAAUACCGGAUAUGACCACUUCACGCAUGUGAUGGUGGUGGAAAGUUUUCGGUCCAGGGAUGUGCUCGCGGCCUAUCAGCUUGAUGGUGAGGUAAUGGCUCACCAUGGCUU